This 492-nucleotide ribosomal RNA is filed under the name uncultured bacterium. Its description in RNAcentral is "partial 16S ribosomal RNA". It matches the Rfam family "Bacterial small subunit ribosomal RNA", at positions 29 to 507 of the family's 1533-position model. The record is from RNAcentral.
AGUGAACGCUGGCGGUAGGCCUAACACAUGCAAGUCGAACGGCAGCACAGUAAGAGCUUGCUCUUACGGGUGGCGAGUGGCGGACGGGUGAGGAAUACAUCGGAAUCUACUUUUUCGUGGGGGAUAACGUAGGGAAACUUACGCUAAUACCGCAUACGACCUACGGGUGAAACCAGGGGAUCUUCGGACCUUGCGCGAUUGAAUGAGCCGAUGUCGGAUUAGCUAGUUGGCGGGGUAAAGGCCCACCAAGGCGACGAUCCGUAGCUGGUCUGAGAGGAUGAUCAGCCACACUGGAACUGAGACACGGUCCAGACUCCUACGGGAGGCAGCAGUGGGGAAUAUUGGACAAUGGGCGCAAGCCUGAUCCAGCCAUACCGCGUGGGUGAAGAAGGCCUUCGGGUUGUAAAGCCCUUUUGUUGGGAAAGAAAAGCAGCAGGUUAAUACCCCGCUGUUCUGACGGUACCCAAAGAAUAAGCACCGGCUAACUUCGUG